This is an RNA transcript of Boleophthalmus pectinirostris (great blue-spotted mudskipper), 4741 nucleotides long. It is a transcript of the gene named purine-rich element binding protein Ab, with no coding region annotated. The transcript has 2 exons. Lineage: Eukaryota; Metazoa; Chordata; Actinopteri; Gobiiformes; Gobiidae. The record is from RefSeq and is a predicted model, not a curated record.
UUUCAUUUCUAAUGCGCCACGAGCCGAAAUGAAACCAGUGUUGCACACGGGGUGCUGGCUCCUGAACGCAGCUCAUUGGAGGACUACAGUAACGAUACUUUCAUUUUUUUCCCCCUCUGCUCUCGCGUGUUCUCGCGAGACAGCGGUGUGUUUGACGGGCAGUCGAGGUUGCAGAGGCAGGGAGACGGUGGAAGGUAAAGCAGGGAGGCAGCAUCAUGGCGGACAGAGACAGUGGCAGUGACCACGGAGGGCCCACCACAGGCCCGCUGCCUCCGGGGGCGAUGGGCGGCAUGUCCCGUCUGCAGCACGACACCGAGGAGCUCGCCUCGAAGCGGGUCGACAUCCAGAACAAGCGCUUCUACCUGGACGUGAAGCAGAACGUCAAAGGCCGCUUCCUAAAGAUAGCCGAGGUCGGCGCUGGGGGAAACAAGAGCCGCCUGACUCUGUCCAUGUCCGUAGCCGUGGAGUUCCGAGACUACCUCGGGGACUUUAUCGAGCACUACGCCCAGCUGGGCCCCUCCAACCCGGACCUGGUGCAGGACGAGCCGCGGCGGGCGCUGAAGAGCGAGUUCCUGGUGCGGGAAAACCGUAAAUACUACAUGGAUCUGAAGGAGAACCAGAGGGGGCGGUUCCUGAGGAUCCGGCAGACCGUUAACCGGGGGCCGGGGCUGGGCAGCGCACAGGGCCAGACCAUCGCUCUCCCCGCGCAGGGGCUCAUUGAGUUCCGCGACGCUUUGGCCAAACUCAUCGAUGACUACGGGGUGGACGAGGACCCCGCGGAGCUGCCAGAGGGCACGUCUCUGACCGUGGACAACAAGCGCUUCUUCUUCGACGUGGGCUCCAACAAGUACGGCGUGUUCAUGCGGGUCAGCGAGGUGAAGCCCACGUACCGGAACUCCAUCACGGUGCCCUGCAAAGUGUGGUCCAAAUUCGGCAACACGUUCAGCAAAUACGCGGAGGAGAUGAGGCAGAUCCAGGAGCGGAGUAGAGAGAAGCGGGCCUCAGAACUGAUGCCCGAGAGCCACGGGGGCGACGAGGGCGAGGACGACUGACCGCGAGCUCGGAGCAAAAAUCAAACCGAAUCACGUGACUUUGUAAAAUAGAGAUGUUGAAGGGAAUCACCCACACAACCUCCACGGACAGCCCGCUGUCUCCUCGUCAUUACCGGAUGUCUCCCACAACCCACCACUCACAGUGAGCCGCUGCUAAACGGAACUUGUCGCCCGAGCAACCUGGAGCAGUGCACCCGGGAUCCAUCUCCAGUUCUUGGGUGAAGUUUGGGUGAGAUCUAUCAGGAGAAUUAACCUUCUGAACACAUUUUAGGCUGAAGGAGGAAACCCACUGACACUCAAGAAAAACAACCGAACUCCACAGUGUGAACACAACUGGGAAUUGAACCGGCGACCAUCUUGCUGUGAGGCGAGAAAGUUAGUCCAAGUUACUGAUACUUUGCAGCUGAUGACAUUCCCUGGGGUUGUGAUGCUAACUAGAGGCACUGCUCUGUCUGAAGCUCUAUUCAACUUUAAUCUGAGCUUUAAUUUAAACACAGUCUGACCUUAAUGAACUGACUCAGCUGGAAGUACAAUAAAUGAGCUGAUUUGUGCUGUAAAACAAGUCCCUCUCACAUAACAUAACAGUCACACGCUACUCAGCUUUAUCCAACAGUUUUUCAGUUCGUCACUCUCACCUUUUUGUUGAAAAUCAAACUCCUAAACAGGACCAUGUACACUCGCACUGAUCACAGGCUCCUGAAAAUGUGCUGUUUAAAGCCAUUUCAUAUUUUUCCUUUUUCUUUGUAUCUUAAAACUUUUUUGACAGUUUUUGCUAAUGUGUCCGCUUGGCAACUGAUGAGCAUUUGGCCAACAGAGAUACAUGUACAACCCACUAGAGCACAUGUGGCAAGGCCCAGGCCCCAAGGGGUUAAAAGGUACAAUUUAUUAUUAUGUUGUGACUCUGUGCUGCAACUACAUCUCCCACAAUGCACCACAGUUGUUUCCCGUGAAGUGACUCCAUCUCGCCACUAUAGAGGCUAAGAAAACUCAUCAAAUUUCCCCAAAAAUGUCCAAGUAAAGAAAAACUGAUGCAGAAGGACGGCUACUUCAUGAAUGUUAAUGAAGGAGUAAUGUGAAUGUUUUAACUUAAACCUUUAAAUCAAAUCCAAUCCACUUUAUUUCUACAGCACAUUUCAUAAACAAAACAGUUUCCCAAGUGCUGCACAAUACAGAUAAAACAUAUCCAAUAGAAAUAUAAAGUAAAGCUCUACUUUACUCUACUAGUCCUCAUUAAGACAAUAAAACUAGUACAAUCAAAUAAGAGCAAGAAUACCAGUAAAUAAUAAAAAGAUAAAAAACAUAAAUGAAAUGAAAAUAUCAAAUACAGACUUUUACAGAUUUGUAACACACCGAUAUUACAGUUACAGUUUCAGUCUUAACUUUACAACCGGCCCAUUGAUGACAAACAUGAUCCAAAUGUGGCCCUGGGUGAAAAUGAGUUUGACCCCCCUGACCUAGAGUUAUGGCACAGCAGUAUCAGUAGCUCACUCCUUCUUUGCAUUGUAGCUGUGGUUAAAACUUUGGUAACAGAUUUGUUGGUAGUUAUAUAGGAGACAUAUUGGAAAGUUCAAAGAUGGCUGCACAUUUCUAAGCGCUAAAAUAAAAAAAAAAUACAAAAACUUUUAUUAACAACUUCAGUGUGUUUUCAGGUCACUGUAAAACAUGCAAAAAAAAAAAAAAAAAAAAAGAAACAUUUUCACAAGAUAUUAAAAAGAAGCACCACUUUCACCAAGAAUAACAGAUGGCUACUGGUAUUUCAGCAAAUGUUGUGAAUUUUAAACAACUUUGCAAAGCUAGAACAGCAUUAAAGAGCUCAUAUUACACUAUUUUCUGAUCUAAAUCUUCUGUAUAAUGUUGUUUCCUCAUCAAAAACAUACCUGGAAUUCUUCUCUCAAACUGAAAACACUCUGUACCACCUUGUGAUGUCACGUGGUCAUACAGGAAGUGUUCCAAAUACCUUCACUAGAAUCAUAUGGAUGACUGAACUAAACAUAAAAGGUAGUUGAUAACUCGAAAACUACCACUUCAUGACAUCACAAAGUGGAACAGAGCAUUUUGAGCUUUGGAGAUGCAGACAGACGAAUAAACAAGGAUUACUUAAACAUGUGUGAAUGAAACAAAACACAACUCCUGGUCUGUUUUUGAUGAGAGAACAACAUAACUUUCAAAUCAAAUCAAAUCAAACUUUAUUUAUAAAGCACUUUUCAUACAAAAAUGUAACACAAAGUGCUUUACACAGAUUAAAAACAAUCCCACAUUUCCACCCACCCACCCAACCCCCACAGCUGCCCGACUCCACACAACCAAACAGCAUAAACACACACACACACACACACACACACACACACACACACUCACAUGCUAAAAUACAUAAAACUACACAUAGAAAAAAUGUGAGACUGAAUACAGGCGAACCAGUUGAGAAAGCACCAUCAGAGGAGUCGUCUACACCAGGAGCAGAGAGCCGUCCACCACCACCAGGAACCACCACAGGGUCCAGGGGAGAGAUGAGGCCCAAAGCACCACCCCUCCACCAGGAGCCCACGGGACAGACCCCGACAGCUACAGCUGACCUCCUGAUACAGAGGGCUCCUACAGAGGAAACACUGGAAAUCCUAAAAAUAGGCCUAAAAUAAAUAAAUAUAAUAAAAUGUGUACAGUAGAAACAAGCAAAAGUAUAAGAUUUCAUUCAAAAGCUAAGCUAAUAAGGUGGGUCUUAAGCCUACUCUUAAAAACAUGAACGUUCUCUGCAGCCCUGAGCUCCUCCAGCAGACAGUUCCAUAGACGGGGGCCAUAAUACUGGAAAGACGCCUCUUAAACUUUGCGUAAACCUCACAUGAAUCCAUUUCCAGGUCCUUUAAACAGUCAUUUUAAAACCACAAUGGGGAUAUAUAAGUUACAUUUGGACUAAAAAUAUAAAACAACACUAGCAUCUUACAUCACCUUAUAACAGAACUUACAUUUCCUGCUUACUUCUCUGCAGAAAUCGUCCUUUUCCUCGAGAGCAGGAGCAGUUGUAACAGUGGGCAUCUUGCAUUGAAAAAAGACACAGGUGUAAAUAGUGACUGUUAAAACAAAAGUCACAUCACAAUAAAAACACCACGGAAACAAGAGCUGAGGAAGUGCUAAUAGUAACAGGCAGCUUUUGUUUUUCUGUGCUUUCUUGGCCAGCUCCGACCAGCCACUUCUGCUCUGUUCCUUUCACACAUCCUUGUCAUGUUUUUUUUUUUAACCAGUCUAUUAAUGGCACUAACACAAACUGCAGAGGGGUAACUGGUGGUAGUAAAGUAGUAAAAGUUGGGAUGGCUGGUAUAAAUAAAAUUGAGAAAAGAGAGCGUAACUGUAAGUAAUUGUCCAUUCACAACUUACUUUGUGGGUCAGUCAUAAUCUGAGGGACUUAUGUUGGUGCAUUUUUGUUUCUUAUGGUCAUUUUCAAGAUCAGUUUUCUGUAUUUUAGCUAAACAAAAGACAAUAUAUUCCCCUCUUUACUGUUGGUAGACACAGGACUCAAAACUGGGACUGUCCUGGGUAAAUAGGGACGUCUGGUCACUCGCCCAGUUUUGACUUUGUUGGUAACAUGAAGCUAAAGAGGUUGCCCCAAAGACACCUGGGUAAAUUGGAAUGGGGUUGAAGAUAAAAUUGUAGAGUUAAGUCAAUGCCAGUUUCACAGCAUUAGGAUUAAUUUGCUC